GUAGUUGCAGCCGAAGCAGACGGGGCAGCGCCAUACAAAUAAUAUAGACCAUCUUUCUCACACCCUCCACCAAUUGUCUUCCUCGUGUGAAGAUCUUAAAAAACACAAUAAGAGGGAAAGAAGGUUACUGAGCAAUUUAAUGAACUAUUU
Long non-coding RNA from Telopea speciosissima, 150 nucleotides. RefSeq lists it as uncharacterized. The record is from RefSeq and is a predicted model, not a curated record. Lineage: Eukaryota; Viridiplantae; Streptophyta; Magnoliopsida; Proteales; Proteaceae. The transcript has 3 exons.